RNAcentral lists this ribosomal RNA (452 nucleotides) under uncultured bacterium. Its description in RNAcentral is "partial 16S ribosomal RNA". It matches the Rfam family "Bacterial small subunit ribosomal RNA", at positions 354 to 796 of the family's 1533-position model. The record is from RNAcentral.
GUCGAGAAUAGUCUACAAUGGACGAAAGUCUGAUAGUGCGACGCCGCGUGAACGAAGAAUCCCUUCGGGGUGUAAAGUUCUUUUAUAUGUGAGCAAUGCUUUUUAUGUGAAUAGCAUGAGAAGAGAGAUAUUAGCAUAUGAAUAAGCAACGGCUAACUCCGUGCUAGCAGCCGCGGUAACACGGGGGUUGCAAGCGUUGUCCGGAAUUACUAGGCGUAAAGGGCAGGUAGGCGGAUCUAUAAGUUUGAUGUUAAAGGCAGCGGCUCACCCGCUGUACGGCGUCGGAUACUGUAGAUCUGGAAUGCGGUUGGGGAAGACAGAAUUCCUGGUGUAGCGGUGGAAUGCGCAGAGAUCAGGAGGAAUACCAAAGGCGAAGGCAGUCUUCUAAGCCGUUAUUGACGCUAAACUGCGAAGGUGUGGGUAUCAAACAGGAUUAGAAACCCCGGUAGUCC